CUGAACAUACAAAUAGCCAUACGUUCGUAUAUCCAUACACCAUUCACCACAGGUUCAUAUACAGAGAUUUGAACAUGAAUCCACAACUAUCAGUUGAAAUGUUUCCUACCCGAAAAUCUGUUUUGAAUACUAAGUUAUGAAAGUCACGAGAAAACCUUUUCAAAGCCGUUUCCCACACGGAAACCCUUUUGAUUAAAAACACGCUACCACGAGAGGUAGAAAACCAUUUCAGUUUACAACACCAUAAUUCUUUUAAUACGAAAUCUCGAUUAUACAAAUGGAAUAACAAAAUUGAACCAGUAGCUGUCUAAGUCAAAUAAUCAGAAAUAACAAAAGUAGCAACUAAACUAAACAAACCAGGUCGGAAGCUCUAUCGACCUCUAUCAACGUGUCUCGUCUCAACUCUC
Molecule: long non-coding RNA, 407 nt
Filed under: Ananas comosus (pineapple)
Lineage: Eukaryota; Viridiplantae; Streptophyta; Magnoliopsida; Poales; Bromeliaceae
Description: long non-coding RNA (ACOM_LNC006964)
Source: RNAcentral